Long non-coding RNA from Lepisosteus oculatus (spotted gar), 2160 nucleotides. The record is from Ensembl. NCBI's taxonomy places the organism in Eukaryota, Metazoa, Chordata, Actinopteri, Semionotiformes, Lepisosteidae.
GUUAUGAUAGCUGCAGCUUCCAUGUACCAUGCAAAACAAGCAAACCUGUCUACAAGUCCAUUUUGUUGUCUUUUAACAUACAUUUACUGCAAUGAAAAAUGCAAAUCUUCUGCAAAAGAUUUCUGCAGAGCUUGGAGUUGUAGACAUUUAUCCCGAUGCAUACAGUGUAUGUAAGUAAAUGAGUGAGAUGAAGAGGUCCAUUCAAGAGAGAACUUGAGAGAACUGCCGAAGUUGUAUAAUGAGUCAGACAGCCAAGCUAAUGGAAGGAACCCCUAAAGGCAUACGUUCAUUCGUUUACCAUGAAUAACUGUGACAAAGAGUAACUUGUCCCCUUGUAACUUUUCUUUCCAAGACUUAAAGGAGACAGUUAUUUAAAGCUGUCUGAGAACAGUAGAUCAUUUAUUUAAGCCUAAGAAUGUACCCUUCUUGGAUUCAGUCCUGUUAUUGCAAAGGUAGAGAGAAAAGGGCCAUGAAACAGUUGGAUCACUUGGAAGCCUCUUUUUAAGACUUAAAGUCUUUGCUAUAAUCCAUUUUUUUAUUUUUUCCAGUCCUGGGAACAAACAAUUGAGAGAUAGGUCUUGGUGUGGUACUGUCCAUUAGUGCAGAACUACUCACUUACUUUCAUGCCACAAUCUCCUGGCUGCAUUAGACAACGUGCAGUACCUACUCAAGAAUUACUAAAGAAUUUCGUGCUGUAUAACAGGCCACUGCUGAAAGUUUAAAUGUUGUAAAUGAGAUUUACCCUUCACAUUGUUAACUCACACAUUUCCUCCCCAGUUUUGCUAUUGCUUAUUUUUGUGUUCUACAACAUUAUUUCUAUGAGAUGCAACAUGUCAUGCCAAUUUUAACUGAAGAGAAACAUGCUUUCACACUGCCAGCUCUGUCUUCUUGCCUUUUAUGUAAUGUAGUUCCAUCCAAGGAAAAGAGUAUAUCAUCAAGCUCAUAUUUUCUUCUACACACUUCUGAGGUCACCUUCAAACCUGGUUGAAUGCCUUUAUUGGUGCAGUAAAUGAAUACUAUAUAAUGCAUUAUGAAAACAUUUUAUUAAUUAGAUUGGUUGUAAGCCAUCUACAGUAUUUUGUCAGUGUUGUGGAUUGUUUAUCAUUUAGCAUAAUGAUAUAAUUAUGGAAUCAUUUAAACCAUUUAUUUACAUAUGAUUGCUAAUUAGGGAUUAUCAGGCACUCUUCACUAUUAAUUAAUCAGGUAUAUGGAGAUAGAAUUCAAGAGAAAAAAUUGACGUGGAACAUCUAUAAAAGAAAGGACAGGGAUAUAACACAAUAAGAUGUCUUUUGCAAGAAAGAACAAGUACAAGUAUCAGCUGUAGGUUUGUUUGUUAAACAUAAUUCUUUAAUAUUGUGUGACCAUCUGUCCUCAGAUCUGUGCUGUGAAUAAAACUGCUCGCUAUUUGUGCUUUUGCCCUGUAAAUAAAUUGCACUGUUGAUGAAUUUCCUGUCUUCUGUGACCAUUUUAAUAAAGCUAUGUGUACUGUAGAUAUUAGAUAGUGAUUCCAUUAAGAUACCCCUCAUCUGUUGAAGUUGAUACCUUGGCUUCUUUCAAGAAAGAGCUCAAUGAAUUUCAUCAGAUCAAUUAGCUACUAGCAUCUACAGUACAGUACAUGUGCUAAAGUGGCCUAAUGGUCUUAUUCCAUUAGUAACAUUUUUUAUGUUUUAUUUUACCUUCCUAAUUAACUUCAGAAAUACUGUAAACUAGCAUUCAGUGUAUACAGUUCCUGUCUUAAAUAAGCAACAUUAUUAUUUUGUCUUGAAUUACAGUGACCUCCUAGGUCAAUACAAAAGUUGUUAAGGUUAAACAGAAGCCUAAACAUUGAUCUUAUUUCGUGCCCAGUUUCAAUCUGUUGGACAUCUUUGUCCUUGGUAAUAACUGGAGCUGCUGGAUGAAAUGAAGGACAAAAUAACAUCAGGAGUUCAAUCAAUACUGUAUGUGGCUACAUUGAACUGAUGAGCCCCAUCCAGUGUGGAACUGGUCUGUACCUGAACAGUUAUUGUCUUUGAUGUUACUGAAAAACGAUAACUGAGUCACCUUGCAUGAUUUAUUUAUAGUAUUUUUUUCUGUUAAAAAAAAAAUAUCCACAGUUGUAAGACUUUGUUCAUUUUUUUCCCCAGCUUUAAAAAGAUUCUCAUAAUAUGUAACUCACAAACG